UACGGAGGGUGCAAGCGUUGUUCGGAGUUACUGGGCGUAAAGCGCGUGUAGGAGGCUUGUUUUGUCAGGUGUGAAAGCCCUCGGCCUAACCGAGGAAGUGCGCCUGAAACUGCCAAGCUUGAGUACGAGAGAGGAGGACGGAAUUCCCAGUGUAGAGGUGAAAUUCGUAGAUAUUGGGAGGAACACCGGUGGCGAAAGCGGUUCUCUGGAUCGAUACUGACGCUAAGACGCGAAAGCGUGGGGAGCAAAUAGG
RNAcentral lists this ribosomal RNA (253 nucleotides) under uncultured bacterium. RNAcentral's name for it is "partial 16S ribosomal RNA". It matches the Rfam family "Bacterial small subunit ribosomal RNA", at positions 524 to 776 of the family's 1533-position model. The record is from RNAcentral.